Hipposideros armiger (great roundleaf bat) is the source of this 255-nucleotide long non-coding RNA. RefSeq lists it as uncharacterized. NCBI's taxonomy places the organism in Eukaryota, Metazoa, Chordata, Mammalia, Chiroptera, Hipposideridae. The record is from RefSeq and is a predicted model, not a curated record. The transcript is spliced from 3 exons.
GAACACUGGACUGUGGGUUUGGACUAUAAACUCAGGUGAAGAGAAUUGUGACUCUAAAGCUUGUUGAGGAUGGUGCUGAAGCCAGGAAACUGCUCCAUCAGUGGGAAUUAGAGGACAAAACAACUUCAAUCACAUCAUACCAUUCAGGCCAAUCAAAACAACCUUCAAGAAAUGACAAGAAACCACUGUUUUGAGAGUCCAUGCAAAAAGUUGAUGUGAAGAUGUCCCAAGAGUAUGAGAUCUGGAAGAGUUUGC